Oncorhynchus kisutch (coho salmon) is the source of this 4748-nucleotide long non-coding RNA. RefSeq lists it as uncharacterized. Lineage: Eukaryota; Metazoa; Chordata; Actinopteri; Salmoniformes; Salmonidae. The transcript is spliced from 2 exons. The record is from RefSeq and is a predicted model, not a curated record.
CUGAUCAACUGUAGGCCACUAAUAAGAGCAGCUGUAUACAGCCUAUGCGCCCUGUCCAUCUGGUCAGGGUAAACUAAUUGGUAAUGUUAUGUACAGUGCGUCAGUGAAGUGGAUGAUCAGGGCUUUAUUCAGUAACGUUUCUUGGGCUACUUUGAGGUGUCAAGUGGACGGGAUGUGCAGUCUGUUUAAAACUUUAUGAAUUUUGAGAUGACUGUGUUUUUCAUAGAGAAACCCGUUGUCCAAACCUACUAUGUAAUGGAAUGUAUCUGCUAUUUGUAUUUACAGCUAAAUCCACUCCGGUUCCCUGAUUUAAGAGGUGAUGACCACUCCAAUCCACGACUAUUGUCAACUCUCUCCUGACAUGAACUGAAGCAGUGUCUCAUGUGCUCGCUCAUCCACUGGCAUAUUGAAUGUUUCCUCUCCAGUCUCCAAGCAAUUCAACUCCUGUCCUGCACUGAAGUCAAGCCUCUGAACACCUCAACGCAUGCCUCACACCCUCAUUCAAUUACCGCUGUGAUUCCUUCCCAAAACAGUGUAAGUAAUCCUCUCCUUCCCAUUCCCCGAAACAUUGUGCUAUAAAUGUCUUUAUUAAAUGCUUUAGGUUAAAAUCCUUUUGCCUUUGACGAUUUUUGAAACACACUCGUCUCCGUGGGUUCCACGCCAAUACCGUGGGUAUCCCAUCCUCCUCCAUUUGUCAAGUCACCAACCUCCACUGGUUUCAUGAUAUAUGUGUAUUUUAGUCCAUCUUGUGUUUCCGUUUUAACUCUGCAUCGUUGGGAAGGGCUCGUAGGCAAGCAUUUCACGGUAAAGUCUACACCCGUUGGAUUUUGCUAAGUGCUAGCACCACCAGGCUCCCUCUCUUUCCAUAGGCGGUGAGGGGGGGGGGUCAGUGGUUCCAGAUACUGGGAUUGAUCUCUCCCCACCACUACACUGGCCCUAAUUAAGGCCUGAGAGUUUAAUGGAGCAGGGAAUUUUAGGAUCUAUUGAUGAGGACAGAUUAUUGGCAUUGGGAUGGAAUUCAUAAUUAGGUGGGUGUUUGUAUUUGUCCUAUUUAUCUGCAUAUGGAAGUGUUUUUUUUUUUGCAUAUCCCAAUGAGACCAGGGUCUACCUUUAUCAGAGGGACUCUUGAGCAAUUUGGGAAUACGUGUCUUGCUCAACGGCACAUAGGCAGAUUUGUCACCUUAUCGGCUUGAAGAAUCAAACGAACAACCUUUCGGUAACUGACCCGACACUCUAACCACUAGGCUACCUGCUGCCUGAAAAUGUAAGUGCAUUUAAUCAUUUAAAGGAGCCAAAAGCUAACUAGAUUUAAAGGGACAGUAGCGGAAAAACACAACAAAUCCUAAUUGAGCAAUGAUUCCUCACCCAGUAUAAACAGCCUCAUUACCACUGAGUAAGAGAGAACGCUUUUGUUAUCAUUUGGAUUUAAAUGCUUGAGAGACAAAAAAAAUGCUCAUUAAAUCUCCCAUGGGAUUGAAGUCAAAGGGUCAUCAAUGAGACAUUAUGUGACUAAUAAGGCUAAUUUGGGAGAUUGUGUUUGGAGCCCGGUGUCCGGGUAGCUAACGCGUAAAAGAGUAAUGACGUGAAGUUAAUAGGAGAGUUAAUUUAGUACUUGCCAUUCCGCUACCCAGAUUAAUAGACUGGAUGGAUGAGAUGAGCUAUAGUAGAUGAGUGAGAAAUAAUUACUUUGAAACAGUGCACUGGGGAGAGGGAAUGUGAGAUGGAGGAGGAGGAAGGGGAACAGGGAAAGAGGGUAAUGGGAACAGGGAAAGAGGGUAAUGGGAAGACGGAAAGGAGUGUUACCGAACAUCUUUGGUACGAAAAAUACAUUGUUCUUCUCACUCCUGCCAAAGCCACUUUCUAAAAUGGAGAAACAGUGAGUGAUGCUUCUCUCUGAAGCAUUUUACGUCAUAUUAUUCCUUGCAGAAUGCCAUAUUGAAUAGAUGAAAUCCAAGGGUAUACUACAAAAAAAUGAAAUACAAUACAACAUAACCUGCAACGGACUAUUCUGUGUUCAAGAUGAGUUGAGAAUGGCUGAUCCUGCUCCAGUCAUUACCACGGUUCUGUUCUCCCCAAUUAAGGUGCCACCAACCUCCUGUGGUCAAAAGACCAAUGAAUGGAAAAAGAUCAGAAUUGGGCUGCCUGUGUAAACGCAGCCUAACUGCCAUUCAACAUCUAUCUGCACUGCACAGAGUUUCGAUAGGGGAGAAAUGCUCUGAGGUUUAUACAGACAUAUUCAUGUUGACAUCAACUGAUGAAAGUCACUGAUGAUGCCCCAGGGUACAAUGUCAUUUCCAUUCCAAACAGUCAUUUGUUGUAUCAGAGAAUGAUGCAGGGAGAGUCAUAAAGAAAACAAUGAAAGAGGAGAUACAAACAGAGGAAGAAAAAAAUACAACUUUAAAUCAGAAUAUAGUGUGAGACAGGGAAAAUACAGAACGAUUGUAGGUGUAUGUGUGAGUGUGUGGGGAUGCAUGCUUGCGUGUGUGUCUCAGAUAGAGAGAGAUCGAGAGAGAGAGAGAGAGAGAGAGAGAGGUGUGCGAGAGAUUCAGAGACAAGACACUCCGGCUAGAAAUUGUGUUUUUUGUCGAUGCGCUUGAGGAAACAGAGUGCGAGCGAAAACACUUUAGGAUGGUGUUAGGCGCUGAUUCAGAUUUAAUGUCCUAAUAUGUCAAGGUCGCUCCCAGCGGCUCCCUUCCCCAGGAAGACAAAUGGAGAGCAUCGGGGCAGACGCAGUGAGCAGACACCCGAGCUAAGAGAGGUGUAGGCAGAGAAGCAGUGGUGGAGGAGGAGGGGAAUCGUUCAGCAAGGCCAGAGAAUGCAUUAGAAGAGCACUGCUUAAGACACAAUGGUUAGAAUGGUUGGAGUCAGAAAAGGCAACUUCCGAAUGAAGAGGAAUACAGUUGUCAGUGUACCAGAAAACCUUUUCUGUGUAAUCGACUACAUUGAAAUGUACCCAAAACGGCCCAUAUUAUAAUAUCAUACCCAUAGCUACAGUAAUAUAAGAACAAGUAUUUUUUUUAUCAAGUAUGGUGUGUCAUACCCCUGGUGUCAUACACCCGGCUAGAAUGUAGAAUGUAGCCAAUCCAGAAUCCAAACUAGCCGGUUUAUAAUGAUCUAUAUGGCUUUGAUGCAUUACUGUACUCGGGAUCAAGAGAACCAUGCUGAUUGAGACAUGUCAGAGAUUAAAUGCAGAGCUGAAGAUCUAGCGCUGACAGAAGACUUAUUUGAAGUCAGGUUUCACACGUCUCGCACUUUGUGCACGUGCACUCUCUGUCUGUAAUAUAUAAUGCCCUUGGAUGUCUAGGGGAUGUCUGGAAUGUGUGAGUAGAGGAGCCCAGCUCACGCUCUGACUGGGGUUCAAAUGAACCCUAAUGGCAGAACAGAGAUUAGAUUUACACAUGAAAGAGGCAGGGGGAUAGCUAGUCUCUCUCUCGAAAAGAAAUUCUAUCUCAAGACUUUGAUUAUGGCUUGAGAGAUCAGGGGAUAGCCUAGAUUUGGAGAAGGUGGAAUUUGAGUUAAGAGCAUGACUCUCGCUCAGUAUUGCAAACACACAGAGGCAGAGACAGACGCUGUCAGUCUGAACCAGGUCCAGGCCACCAGACGGCCUCGUUGGACUGGCCAUGCCGUUCGGUGAUUGGGCCACAGAGAUCUCCCAGGGGACCCCCGUCUGGCUCAUCGGGCCUGGGCGGGGGCCAACAUCACAGACUGAGAAGAGGAUUGAGCCAUAUCUGGCGGUGGAAAAUCUGUCAGGCCAUUCUCUCAUCCAAACUCAUUUUUUUUAUUUUAUUUUCUGUCAUCCAAACCAAAAACCCACAACAAAUCUGUCAUCCUAGCCCAACCCACAACAACACAGAACCGCAAAAUCUGCAGCAGACUGAAAAACCUCUCAACUGAAACUUGGGUAAAAGAAGGUGAGAAAUGCUUCCUCUUUUAAGACAUUAUUAGUGCCUGGUAUUAUUGACAAAUUAGUGUAUUUUCAGAAGAAAUGUGCGUAAUUUGUGCAAAACAUGUUUGCUAUUGUGUACGAUAUAAGGGAUCUUCAUGACCUCUAUCACUCUCCUUUCAUCUCUUAGCGACGAAGACAGAGGAGCUUUACAUAUAUAGAUGGAUCGUAUAAUUGUAUUGCUGCCAUUAAAAUACCGUUUACCGUUCAAGCUGAUUUGCAGAUUCAUCAGAACAACACGCCGGAAAUACUAUCCGACAGAUCACCCCCAUCCAAAACUAUAGUCGUAUAUAUCUUGACUCUGCAGAGGAGAUGAUGAUUGGGAUAAUUUGGGAUAUAGCCCUAUUCUUUAUGACACUGUCCUCAUGCAGUCUAUCAGCCAAAAAAGACAAGACUCCACACCCUGUGAGUGUGUUUAUUAUGACAACCUUUACUUUUUUAUAAAUAUACUAUUUAGUAAAAUGUUAACUCCCUUGAGCUUAAAACCUAUUUUGCAACCUAUUUUGAUCUUCACAAUGUCAUGCCCUGAUCUGUUUCACCUGUCCUUGUCUCCACCCCCCCUCCAGGUGUCGCCCAUCUUCCCCAGGUGUGUUUCCUGUCAGUCUGUGCCAGUUCGUCUUGUUUUUUCAAGUCAACCAGCGGUUUCUCAGCUCCUGACUCUGAACCCGCCUGCUUGACCACUCUGCCGGAGCCUGCCUGCCUGCCUGCCGUCCUGUACCUUGGCCCAACUACUCUGGAUUAUCGACCCCUGCCUUGACCUGUCAUUUGCCUGCCCCUGAUGUUACAAUAAAAAAGGUUACUUCUA